RNAcentral lists this ribosomal RNA (506 nucleotides) under uncultured bacterium. RNAcentral describes it as "partial 16S ribosomal RNA". It matches the Rfam family "Bacterial small subunit ribosomal RNA", at positions 29 to 523 of the family's 1533-position model. The record is from RNAcentral.
AGUGAACGCUGGCGGUAGGCCUAACACAUGCAAGUCGAACGGCAGCACAGGAGAGCUUGCUCUCUGGGUGGCGAGUGGCGGACGGGUGAGGAAUACAUCGGAAUCUACUUUUUCGUGGGGGAUAACGUAGGGAAACUUACGCUAAUACCGCAUACGACCUACGGGUGAAAGCAGGGGACCUUCGGGCCUUGCGCGAUUGAAUGAGCCGAUGUCGGAUUAGCUAGUUGGCGGGGUAAAGGCCCACCAAGGCGACGAUCCGUAGCUGGUCUGAGAGGAUGAUCAGCCAAACUGGAACUGAGAACCGGUCCAGACUCCUACGGGAGGCAGCAGUGGGGAAUAUUGGACAAUGGGCGCAAGCCUGAUCCAGCCAUACCGCGUGGGUGAAGAAGGCCUUCGGGUUGUAAAGCCCUUUUGUUGGGAAAGAAAUCCAGCUGGCUAAUACCCGGUUGGGAUGACGGUACCCAAAGUAUAAGCACCGGCUAACUUCGUGCCAGCAGCCGCCGUAA